GGCUCCAUGGCCCAAUGGUGGGGCAGCGGAUUCCAAAUCCGAAGGUUGUGGGUUCAAGUCCCACUGGGGUCA
Molecule: transfer RNA, 72 nt
Filed under: Volvox africanus
Lineage: Eukaryota; Viridiplantae; Chlorophyta; Chlorophyceae; Chlamydomonadales; Volvocaceae
Also listed under: 2 other names
Rfam family: tRNA
About the family: Transfer RNA (tRNA) molecules are approximately 80 nucleotides in length. Their secondary structure includes four short double-helical elements and three loops (D, anti-codon, and T loops).
Source: Rfam by way of RNAcentral